Molecule: ribosomal RNA, 579 nt
Filed under: uncultured bacterium
Lineage: Bacteria
Description: partial 16S ribosomal RNA
Rfam family: Bacterial small subunit ribosomal RNA
Source: RNAcentral
UGGGGAAUUUUGGACAAUGGGCGAAAGCCUGAUCCAGCAAUGCCGCGUGUGUGAAGAAGGCCUUCGGGUUGUAAAGCACUUUUGUCCGGAAAGAAAUCCUUGGCUCUAAUACAGUCGGGGGAUGACGGUACCGGAAGAAUAAGCACCGGCUAACUACGUGCCAGCAGCCGCGGUAAUACGUAGGGUGCAAGCGUUAAUCGGAAUUACUGGGCGUAAAGCGUGCGCAGGCGGUUUGCUAAGACCGAUGUGAAAUCCCCGGGCUCAACCUGGGAACUGCAUUGGUGACUGGCAGGCUAGAGUAUGGCAGAGGGGGGUAGAAUUCCACGUGUAGCAGUGAAAUGCGUAGAGAUGUGGAGGAAUACCGAUGGCGAAGGCAGCCCCCUGGGCCAAUACUGACGCUCAUGCACGAAAGCGUGGGGAGCAAACAGGAUUAGAUACCCUGGUAGUCCACGCCCUAAAACGAUGUCAACUAGUUGUUGGGGAUUCAUUUCCUUAGUAACGUAGCUAACGCGUGAAGUUGACCGCCUGGGGAGUACGGUCGCAAGAUUAAAACUUAAAUGAAUUGACGGGGUCAUAGCU